AUUGAACGCUGGCGGCAUGCCUUACACAUGCAAGUCGAACGGUAACAGGUUAAGCUGACGAGUGGCGAACGGGUGAGUAAUACAUCGGAACGUGCCCAGUAGUGGGGGAUAGCCCGGCGAAAGCCGGAUUAAUACCGCAUACGACCUAAGGGUGAAAGGGGGGGAUCGCAAGACCUCUCGCUAUUGGAGCGGCCGAUGUCAGAUUAGCUAGUUGGUGGGGUAAAAGCUCACCAAGGCGACGAUCUGUAGCUGGUCUGAGAGGACGACCAGCCACACUGGGACUGAGACACGGCCCAGACUCCUACGGGAGGCAGCAGUGGGGAAUUUUGGACAAUGGGCGCAAGCCUGAUCCAGCCAUGCCGCGUGCGGGGAGAAGGCCUUCGGGUUGUAAACCGCUUUUGUCAGGGAAGAAAUCCUUUGGGUUAAUACCUCGGGGGGAUGACGGUACCUGAAGAAUAAGCACCGGCUAACUACGUG
Molecule: ribosomal RNA, 477 nt
Filed under: uncultured bacterium
Lineage: Bacteria
Description: partial 16S ribosomal RNA
Rfam family: Bacterial small subunit ribosomal RNA
Source: RNAcentral